RNAcentral lists this ribosomal RNA (497 nucleotides) under uncultured bacterium. RNAcentral describes it as "partial 16S ribosomal RNA". It matches the Rfam family "Bacterial small subunit ribosomal RNA", at positions 28 to 507 of the family's 1533-position model. The record is from RNAcentral.
GAUGAACGCUGGCGGCGUGCCUAAUACAUGCAAGUCGAGCGAACGGACGAGAAGCUUGCUUCUCUGAUGUUAGCGGCGGACGGGUGAGUAACACGUGGAUAACCUACCUAUAAGACUGGGAUAACUUCGGGAAACCGGAGCUAAUACCGGAUAAUAUUUUGAACCGCAUGGUUCAAAAGUGAAAGACGGUCUUGCCGUCACUUAUAGAUGGAUCCGCGCUGCAUUAGCUAGUUGGUAAGGUAACGGCUUACCAAGGCAACGAUGCAUAGCCGACCUGAGAGGGUGAUCGGCCACACUGGAACUGAGACACGGUCCAGAAUCCUACGGGAGGCGGCAGUAGGGAAUCUUCCGCAAUGGGCGAAAGCCUGACGGAGCAACGCCGCGUGAGUGAUGAAGGUCUUCGGAUCGUAAAACUCUGUUAUUAGGGAAGAACAUAUGUGUAAGUAACUGUGCACAUCUUGACGGUACCUAAUCAGAAAGCCACGGCUAACUACGUG